This 806-nucleotide ribosomal RNA is filed under the name uncultured bacterium. RNAcentral's name for it is "bacterial SSU rRNA". It matches the Rfam family "Bacterial small subunit ribosomal RNA", at positions 8 to 796 of the family's 1533-position model. The record is from RNAcentral.
AGAGUUUGAUCAUGGCUCAGAACGAACGCUGGCGGCGUGCCUAACACAUGCAAGUCGAGCGAGAAAGCCCGCAAGGAGUAAAGCGGCGCACGGGUGCGUAACACGUGGGUAAUCUGCCCUGGAGUCCGGAAUAACUCGCCGAAAGGCGUGCUAAUGCCGGAUGAGACCACGGGGGCUUCGGCUCCUGCGGGAAAAGGUGGCCUCUGUACACAAGCUAUCACUCCAGGAUGAGCCCGCGGCCCAUCAGCUAGUUGGCGGGGUAACGGCCCACCAAGGCAACGACGGGUAGCUGGUCUGAGAGGACGAUCAGCCACACUGGAACUGAGACACGGUCCAGACUCCUACGGGAGGCAGCAGUGGGGAAUCUUGCGCAAUGGGCGAAAGCCUGACGCAGCAACGCCGCGUGUGUGAUGAAGGUCUUCGGAUCGUAAAGCACUGUCGCGAGGGACGAAUAAGGGUCGGGAUAAUACUCCGGUCCGAUGACGGUACCUCGAGAGGAAGCACCGGCUAACUCUGUGCCAGCAGCCGCGGUAAUACAGAGGGUGCAAGCGUUGUUCGGAAUUAUUGGGCGUAAAGCGCGUGUAGGCGGCUCAGCAAGUCAGGUGUGAAAGCCCUCGGCUUAACCGAGGAAGUGCGCCUGAAACUAUUGAGCUUGAGUACCGGAGAGGGCGGUGGAAUUCCCGGUGUAGAGGUGAAAUUCGUAGAUAUCGGGAGGAACACCAGCGGCGAAGGCGACCGCCUGGACGGCUACUGACGCUGAGACCGAAAGCGUGGGGAGCAAACAGGAUUAGAUACCCUAGUAGUCC